This 1062-nucleotide long non-coding RNA is filed under the name Neogobius melanostomus (round goby). RNAcentral's name for it is "lncRNA (ENSNMLG00000012221.1)". The record is from RNAcentral. Lineage: Eukaryota; Metazoa; Chordata; Actinopteri; Gobiiformes; Gobiidae.
AUGUUUUUAACGGAGACGUGGCUAGAUAAAAACACGGAGAAUGCUGUCCUGAUUGAGUGUAGCCCCCCAAAUUUUAACUUCAUGUCUGAAAUAAGACCAAAUCAGAGGGGUGGGGGUGUCUGUUCACUAUUUAGGGACAACCUAUCGUGCCACAAACAAUCAUUUGGGGAGUUUUCAUCAUUUGAGUAUGUGUCAUUUAAAAUGAAGAUGCAACAAUCUGCCAUACUUUAUAUUGUUAUUUAUAAACGGCCUCAAAAUUGUUCUUUUAUUGAAGAUUUUAUUGGAUUAAUUUCAAUUGUGGCCACAGAAUUCGACAUCUUGAUUAUUACGGGUGAUCUGAAUGUUCAUGUGGAUGUGCUAAACGACCGGCACACUAAAGAACUUAAUGCUGUCCUUGAAACAUUUGGGUUAACUCAGCAUGUGUCUGAGCCCACCCAUAACAGAGGACACACAUUGGACAUCCUUAUUACAAAAGGUGUUACUAUUUCUGAUGUGAAUGUUGUUGACGUUGCAUUAUCUGAUCAUGUUUGCGUUUUCUUUGAACUUUCUGUUGUACCCAAGCCAGCAGUUGGGUCUGCAGUGGUUCGGAAAAGACUCAUAAAUGAUAAAACAAAGUUACAGUUUAUGGCUAUGAUUACAUUUGAAGAUUCUCCCUGUUCAAAUGUUGAUAAUUUGUUGAGCUCUUAUACAUCAGGUGUUUUAAAUGUCUUGGACACCAUAGCCCCUGUUAAGGAUAAAAUUGUUAAAAAUAAGCAAAAGGCCCCGUGGAGAAAUGACGAUUCAGUCAAAGAACAUAAAAGAGAGUGCCGGAGAGCCGAACGAACAUGGCGCAAGUCAAAGCUCCCAGUUCAUUUUGAAAUUUACAAAGAAAAGUUACACGUAUUUAAUCGGGCUCUGCGUAGAGCUAGAGAAAAGUAUUUCUCUGAAAUAAUUUCAAAUUGCCAUGGUAACUCUCGUGUUCUGUUUGCCAUGGUUAGCAGACUCACAAACCCUCCAGUCUCAUUGCCCCAGGAAUUCAUUUCUACAUCAAAGUGCAAUGAGUUUGCUAAUUUUUUUUUUUAG